CCAGGUCAGGACACGGUAAGGAUUGACGGACUGAAGGCUCUUUCUCGAUUCCGUGGAAAGUGGUGCAUGGCCGUUUUUGGUUGGUGGAUCGAUCCGUCUGGUUAAUUCCGUUAACGAACGAGACCUCGGCACUCCGAAUAGCGCGGCGGACGUCGCGGCCUCCGGGCCGUCUUCCGCACGAGCUUCUUAGAGGGACCGUCCCCCGCCGGGGAAGGAGGUGCGAGGCAACGACAGGUCUGUGAUGCCCUUAGAUGUUCUGGGCCGCACGCGCAUUACACUGACGCGUCCAACGGGUGACUCCCGACCCGAAGGGGCCGGGGAAUCCGCAAGGCGCGUCGUGAUGGGGAUUGAACGUUGCAAUUGUUGUUCACGAACGAGGAAUUCCUAGUAGGCGCGGGUCAUCAACCCCGCGCCGAUUACGUCCCUGCCCUUUGUACACACCGCCCG
RNAcentral lists this ribosomal RNA (447 nucleotides) under uncultured eukaryote. RNAcentral's name for it is "bacterial SSU rRNA". It matches the Rfam family "Eukaryotic small subunit ribosomal RNA", at positions 1218 to 1675 of the family's 1831-position model. The record is from RNAcentral.